AUUAAUUAUAUUAUAUUGUUUUUUUGUAUAUCUAAUUAUUUAAUAUAAGUAAUUUUAUUGUUUUUUGUCUAAGUAUAUUUUAUAGAAUUGAUUUUUAAAAUUAUAGCUUAUUGGUAAUGUAAGUGUUUUAUGUAAUAUUUUUUUAAAUUUUAAAAAGUAGAUUUUAUUUGUUGUACCUUUUGUAUCAGGGUUUAUCAAAAUUUUGGUAUUUAUUUACUUAUCUCGAUUUGGGUUGAUUUAUAAAUAAUUUAUAGUUAAUGUUUCAUAAUUAUUAUAAAAUUAUUUAUAGAAAUGAUAUGUUAUUCGUUUCCUAAGAUAUCUAGUUUCUUAAGAAAAAAUUUAAUUUUUUGAAGUUGAUUGGUUUUAUUUAAUUUUUUAAUUAUAAAUAUCAACUUAUUUAUACUUUAAGGGAUAAGCUUUAAAGUUAAUUAUCCUAUAAUUUUCUUUUUUAAAUAUAAUAGUAGGCUACAAACCAGCUAUCUUUAAGACUACGUUUUAGUUCAUUAUUUUUUAUUUUGAUUUUUUAAAACUUUUAGGGUUUUUAUUAAGGUUCUUGAUUUAAUUUAUUAAUCUUUGUAAUAAUGAUAGAAUUAGUAUAUUUAUUUAUCUAAAAUUUUUUUUUCUUUUAAUUUAUUAUAAGGAAUUAGGCAAAAUUGAUUUCGCCUUGUUUAUCAAAAAACAAUGUCCUUCUUGAAGAAUAUUUUGGAGGUCUGGCCUGCUCACUGAGCGAUUUUUAAAAGAGCCGCGGUAUUUUGACCGUGCAAAAGGUAGCAUAAUCAUUAGUCUCUUAAUUGGUGGCUGGAAUGAAUGGCUUGACGAGAAAUCUACUGUCUCUUAAUAAUUUUUUGAAUUUAACUUUUAAGUCAAAAGGCUUAAAUUUAUCUUUAGGACGAGAAGACCCUAUAGAGCUUAACAUUUUACUUUUAUAUAGUUUUUGGUUAGUCUUUCUGUAUUUAAUUAUAAUGUUUUGUUGGGGUGACAUAAAGAAUAAAUAAACUCUUUAUUAUUAUAUCAUUGAUUUAUGUUUGUUGUUUUGAUCCAUAAUUUAUGAUCAUAAGAUUAAGUUACCUUAGGGAUAACAGCGUAAUUGUUUUCGAGAGCUCAUAUCGACAAAGCAGAUUGCGACCUCGAUGUUGGAUUAAGAAAAAAUUUGGGUGCAGGAGCCCAUUAUUUAGGUCUGUUCGACCUUUAAAUUCUUACAUGAUCUGAGUUCAGACCGGCGUGAGCCAGGUCGGUUUCUAUCCUAAGAUUAUUAAUUCAUAUUAGUACGAAAGGACCAUAUGGUUAAAAUAUUUUUUAUAUUACUGAUUAAUAUUAAUUAAUUU
Molecule: ribosomal RNA, 1325 nt
Filed under: Chondracris rosea
Lineage: Eukaryota; Metazoa; Arthropoda; Insecta; Orthoptera; Acrididae
Description: 16S ribosomal RNA
Rfam family: Archaeal large subunit ribosomal RNA (bases 883-1248)
Source: RNAcentral